RNAcentral lists this ribosomal RNA (840 nucleotides) under Triticum aestivum (bread wheat). Its description in RNAcentral is "partial small subunit ribosomal RNA". Lineage: Eukaryota; Viridiplantae; Streptophyta; Magnoliopsida; Poales; Poaceae. The record is from RNAcentral.
AUGGGUUUUGAUCGUGCCAACACGGCUAACUGCGUCGCCACUGGCCGCGGACGCACUGUGUGUGUGACCGGCGCCGGCGGUUUCAUCGCGUCCAGGCUCGUGAAGCUCCUUGUGAAGAAGGGCUACGCCGUCCACGGCACCGUCCCGAACCCUGGAAAAAAUGAUCGAGCCGGCAGUGAACGGGACGAGAAACGUGAUCAACGCCAUGGAGGAGGUGGGCGGCAUCCGGCGUGUGGUAAUGAUGUCGUCGAUCGGCUCCUCUACAUGGAUCCUUGCCGCAGCAUCGAUGGGGAGGCCGACGAGACAUGUUGGAGCGACCUCGAGUUCUGCAAGAACACAAAGACGGCGGCGGAGCAGGCGGCAUUGGAGCUCCCAAAGGAGAGGAAGCUAGACCUUGUCGUGAUCAACCUGCCUCUAGUGUUGGGCCCUCUGUUGCAGACGGUGGUGAAUGCCAGCACUUUGCACACCGCUAAAUACCUGGACGGCUCGAUGCAGACGUACACCAAUGCUGCCCAGGCGUACGUGCAUGUCUGGGAUGUCGCGGACGCACACGUGCGUGCGUACGAGAUGCCUAAUGCGCAUGGCCAGUACCUCUGCGCGGGGCGCACGCUGCACCGCUCUGAGGUGUGUUGUAUCCUCGCAAAGUUCUUUCCGGAGUACCCCGUGCCCACCAGGUGCAAGGAAGGGGCGGGCGAGAUGAAGAAAGGGUGCCGGUUCAGCAGUCGGAGGAUCAUGGAGCUAGGCGUCGGCAUCACGCCGGCAAGCCAGUGUCUCUACGACACCGUCACGAGCCUUCAAGACAAGGGCAUCUUACCCCGUCGCCACGCUGAUAUGUCCUGA